UUGUAUUGGUCUGAUUUAGUUGAUCUAAAAUCAACGACAUUUAGGUUAUUUUUCGAUUCAGUGUGCAGCUUUUCUAGCGCAUGCAUUCGCCCUAAUGACAACCAGCCAAUGAGAACGCGGAACACUAAUGACGAGUCAUAGCGAUAUAAGCAUGCUAAAAAUGUUGUGGAUCCGCUCGCACGAAUCCAUCCUUAACAGGAACAGAUUUCCGAAAACUACAGAACGGCAGAGAAGUAAACAACGAUGUCCAACAAUUUAUUUGAUUGCUUCCUCUUAUGCUCUGAGAUAUCUUAUUCUCAGUUCUUUGGGAAAGAGUGGAAGCUUUGAGCUGAAGACUUCUUCUUGAAACAGCAUGUGUCUGCGCACCACUUGCCUACUGUACCAGCCAGUCCUGCAUUCACCCUCAAUCUGUCAUCUCGUCUCAGCCUUUGGGAGGAGUACGAACUGCCUGACAGAUGGGGGGAGCAUUGGAGUCUCAGUCGCCGUCACUUCGCUCGAUACGGCUCUGAUCUGGCACCCCUGCAGUUGAGUGAACAGCAGACACAUAUAAAUCUGUACGCUUUAAAGCUAGCUUUCAUCAGGAAAUGGCACUGUCGCUCCACCAUACAGUACAUAGAUAUACACCCAAUGAUUAUAAACUAAAGACAGAAAUUAUGCAUUGAGGUGCGCUACUAUUACCAUUUUAUUUUAUUUUAAAUUUUUUUGCAAACAAACCCAAAAAUUUAAAUCAACGUGUGUUCUUGAAACCAAAUUUCAUUCCAAAAGUUAUUCAUUUUAGCUAUUCAACCAUAUGAGGUAUCCAACUGUUGCCAAAUUAGCAUAUGCCUUUCCAACGUUAUGUCAGUAUUAGUGAAUUUUUGAUUAUAAAUAAACCUACAUUUCAUUCGGUACUGACAUGUAUUGAUAAAGUUACUGAAAAUUAUUAUACCAAAUAUUGUUGUACAAUGCAUUUUAUGCUUAUUAAGAGUAUUGUGCUUUUAGCUUAACAGCAUGCUAAUAUCGAAACAUCAUUUAUUUUUGACACCUAAAGUAGUUAUUUAUUUAGAGAGGCCCAAAAUCUCUGUCUUAUGAUAGCUUUGCAUAGUAAGAGAUAUAUAACAUGCAAAUUGCACAUGGGAUAAAGUAAAUGAAUCACACACGCACAAAAAUAUAUAUAUUUUUUUUCAAUUUAUUACCUAAAAAAAGAAAAUGUCCUAUCACAAGUCACACUGAAAUGUAUUGCUUAAGAAAAAAAUAUAUUUAGAUAUUUUCCUUUUUUUUUUAACUUGAUUAUUUCCAUUAUAUUCCACAUAAACAAAACAGGGCACAGCAAGGCCCUUUUUCUGCCUUCCGCCCACUUAAAAAAAAAAAGCACAAAGAAAUACAUAAUUCACAGUUACCAUUUUGGUUUCAUAAAUUAAUACA
This is a long non-coding RNA of Carassius auratus (goldfish), 1404 nucleotides long. RefSeq lists it as uncharacterized. The transcript is spliced from 2 exons. The record is from RefSeq and is a predicted model, not a curated record. Lineage: Eukaryota; Metazoa; Chordata; Actinopteri; Cypriniformes; Cyprinidae.